Molecule: ribosomal RNA, 372 nt
Filed under: uncultured organism
Description: bacterial SSU rRNA
Rfam family: Bacterial small subunit ribosomal RNA
Source: RNAcentral
CGUAGGUGGCAAGCGUUGUCCGGAAUCAUUGGGCGUAAAGGGCGCGUAGGCGGGUAAUUAAGUCAGAUGUGAAAACCCCGAGCUCAACUCGGGAACUGCAUCUGAUACUGGAUAUCUUGAGUGCAGGAGAGGACAGUGGAAUUCCUAGUGUAGCGGUGAAAUGCGUAGAUAUUAGGAGGAACACCAGUGGCGAAGGCGGCUGUCUGGACUGUAACUGACGCUGAGGCGCGAAAGCGUGGGGAGCAAACAGGAUUAGAUACCCUGGUAGUCCACGCCGUAAACGAUGGGUACUAGGUGUAGGAGGUAUCGACCCCUUCUGUGCCGGAGUUAACACAAUAAGUACCCCGCCUGGGGAGUACGGCCGCAAGGUUG